CGCGCAUGCGCGUCAGCUUUCACCCUGCAGCAACACUUCUAAGCGAAAUAUUGAUAUGGUGCUAAUUAAUGGACACUUUCAUAGAUCUCUGCCAAUCAUUCGGUGUGCCCCUCUGGGUGGGGCCGUUGCUCCACGCGGCCUCCAGGCUGAAGACGACAGACCGGAUAAAACGAAGAAAAGUUUACCGUUUAAUCCAGCGUCAGUUACUGAACAGGAUCGGCUGUAGCACACGUUACAAACCCACUUACGUGUACCCAGCUGAGCUCAAAGAGAUGGUCCGAGCAGCCUUUCCAAACGACAUCUGUGACUAUGACGACCCCUGUCACGAAAAUGUGAGAUAUAU
RNAcentral lists this long non-coding RNA (343 nucleotides) under Sinocyclocheilus rhinocerous. Its description in RNAcentral is "lncRNA (ENSSRHG00000026307.1)". The record is from RNAcentral. Lineage: Eukaryota; Metazoa; Chordata; Actinopteri; Cypriniformes; Cyprinidae.